UUAAAAAUUAAAAAAAAAAAAAAAAAAAAGGACGACGAUUCUUUUGAAUUGCAUCAGAACAAAUAAAAAAAAAAAAUACUUUGAAAACGAGACAUCGAGACGCCUCCUCCAUUCCUCGCAGAAUGAGGCGGCAGAGAUAAAAAGAGAGCGCGGAUUGUGCGAAAAGAAAAGUUUGAGAAAGAGUAGGCCGGCUGGUACUUAACAUCCGACGAUGACUUGAAAACGCGCGUUUAUCUAUCCAGCCUUUGGUGGCCGCGAGAGGUUCCUUUUAUCGCUAGGCGCGACCGGAAGUGGUGACAUCGAGGGGGCAAAGAAGGGGCGGAAAUGCAUAGAGACGCCAGGGGUAAGACGGUGCACACGGGGUGGUUGGCCAACUAAAGAGCCUGGAGUAUCAAGUUUUAACGAGGUGUGUUCGGAGACUUUACGACUGUGAGGUACUCGGCAGACAUAAAGAGCCGUGUACGACGAAAGCGCGUUUUUCCAUUCCACCGGAGGAAAAUUGGUAGAGAGGAAAAGGUUUGAAGAAGUGUGUCGGUCAAUGGGUUACCGACCGAGUCACCGGUUAAAUGGGCUAAUGAGUAAGCAAAUGACCGAGAAAGUAAGAUGUUGAUAUUGAAGACGAGUCGCUUCAAGAAUAUGGUAAUUAAGCACGAGUGGAAUAAUUAUGUAUAGGUGAGCCAGUGAAGGAGAAUUUUUUAUGAAUAAUUGUUGUCGAAGGUUAAUAAAAUGAUUGAGUUAGUGAACGAGUCGAGUUGAUAAGUUAGUGAGAGUGAUGAUUAAAUUGAAUGAGUUAAUAAUAUAUUAAUGAUCUAAUUAUUAGUGAGAAAAUUAAUAAGUGUUGAGUUAGUUAUUGAAUGGAUAUGCUAACAAGUGAAUUGGCAAAUGAUUGAUCUGAUAAAUAAAAAUUGAAUUGAUAGGUUAUCAAAUGAGUGAAUACAUUGUUAACCUAUUAAAUAUCCAAAUCAAUAAAUAAUCUAGUUAUUAAAUUAGCAAGUGAAUAAAUGAGUGAAUUAUUGGUAUAAUAAAGCAAUAGAUUAAUAAAUGGACGAUAUAACAAAUCACUUACAUAAUCCAUAACGGAUUAAGUUUGCAAGUGAGUGAAUAUAUUAAUGCACCAAGUACAAAAUCACAUAAAGUACAUAAUCAGUAUUCCGCUUCACAAAUGAAUAAGUAAACAAUUGGAUCAUAAAUAAAUAAUCGUUCAAUACAUAUUAUUGAAUCCGAUAUAACGAAGAAAUGGAAAUAAAAUAAAAAUGAUUACGGCAGCGUCACGAAAAUGAAGAGUGAAAUUGUUGCGGUCGAUCGAGAGCGAAACGAUUCGUUUCGAUUGGCAUCGUUGUUGUGCAGUAACAAAAUAAUUGCAGGAUUCUGUGAGUGCCGCGCCUCUUGUCCCAAGAUUUGUAUAAAAAUCGUUCGUUCCAGUGACGAGCACCACUGUGAUUCCAAUAGAGGGACAGUGUUAAAAAAAGAAAAAGAGAUCGUGUGAUGUUUAACCAUCGAUUGCAUUGCCUCUUUUUAUUCUUUACUCGAGUUCUAUAGAUGCCACUGGGAUUUUAUCUUGGGAUUUUAUUCGAAUAAUUCAGCACUCGUGACCAAUAUCAAACUAAUUAAUGUAACGAGCGAGAUAGAUAAUCUGCCCAUUGCGUGUAUUACGAUAAUUAUCAAUGAUAAAUUUUUCCUGGACGCUUUUUCAUGAACGAGUUUUGCAAAUUGAUAACGAUAAAUAAUAGUAUUGAUGGACUCAGUUAACCUAUACGCUCUAGUGAAUUUUAAUAUUCAACUCUUAAGGCGUAUUCAAAAAAAUUAGAAGUAUAUUAGAAGACGAAUAAGCAGAUGGGACGAGAUGGACACGGAUGAAUAAAAGAUGAAAUUAAAGCGGACGAACAGGCUGGUGGGCAAGUUUCGACUGGAAAAUUUUACCCUUUUCUAUCCUUUUCUAUUUAUUAGCGUACGGUUCAACGAUAUCUUCGAGUGGCUAUAAAUCUUCGAGUAGUUGCCUGUUACCAAGAUAAUGAAGGAAAUGAGAGGAAUUUUCAGCAAACGAGAAACGAUAUAUACCGCGGAACUUAUUUGCAUUUUUCGUGGAAAGCCAUGUAAAAAAAAAAAAAAAAA
RNAcentral lists this long non-coding RNA (2112 nucleotides) under Apis mellifera (honey bee). RNAcentral's name for it is "uncharacterized LOC102655539". The record is from RNAcentral. Lineage: Eukaryota; Metazoa; Arthropoda; Insecta; Hymenoptera; Apidae.